GAUGAACGCUGGCGGCGUGCCUAAUACAUGCAAGUCGAGCGAACAGACGAGGAGCUUGCUUCUCUGACGUUAGCGGCGGACGGGUGAGUAACACGUGGAUAACCUACCUAUAAGACUGGGAUAACUUCGGGAAACCGGAGCCAAUACCGGAUCAUAUAUUGAACCGCAUGGUUCAAUAGUGAAAGACGGCUUUGCUGUCACUUAUAGAUGAUUCCGCGCCGCAUUAGCUAGUUGGUAAGGUAACGGCUUACCAAGGCAACGAUGCGUAGCCGACCUGAGAGGGUGAUCGGCCACACUGGAACUGAGACACGGUCCAGACUCCUACGGGAGGCAGCAGUAGGGAAUCUUCCGCAAUGGGCGAAAGCCUGACGGAGCAACGCCGCGUGAGUGAUGAAGGUCUUCGGAUCGUAAAACUCUGUUAUUAGGGAAGAACAAAUGUGUAAGUAACUAUGCACGUCUUGACGGUACCUAAUCAGAAAGCCACGGCUAACUACGU
Molecule: ribosomal RNA, 496 nt
Filed under: uncultured bacterium
Lineage: Bacteria
Description: partial 16S ribosomal RNA
Rfam family: Bacterial small subunit ribosomal RNA
Source: RNAcentral